Molecule: ribosomal RNA, 1012 nt
Filed under: Chitinophaga sp.
Lineage: Bacteria; Pseudomonadati; Bacteroidota; Chitinophagia; Chitinophagales; Chitinophagaceae
Description: bacterial SSU rRNA
Source: RNAcentral
CGAGGGGCAGCACAGGUAGCAAUACUGGGUGGCGACCGGCAAACGGGUGCGGAACACGUACGCAACCUUCCUUCAAGCGGGGAAUAGCCCAGAGAAAUUUGGAUUAAUACCCCAUAAGAAUGUGACCUGGCAUCAGGUAGCAUUUAAAGAUUUAUCACUUGAAGAUGGGCGUGCGUCUGAUUAGGUAGUUGGUGAGGUAACGGCUCACCAAGCCGACGAUCAGUAACUGGCGUGAGAGCGCGACCAGUCACACGGGCACUGAGACACGGGCCCGACUCCUACGGGAGGCAGCAGUAAGGAAUAUUGGUCAAUGGACGCAAGUCUGAACCAGCCAUGCCGCGUGGAGGAUGAAGGCCCUCUGGGUUGUAAACUUCUUUUAUUUGGGACGAAACACUUCUUWUCUAAGGAGCUUGACGGUACCAGAUGAAUAAGCACCGGCUAACUCCGUGCCAGCAGCCGCGGUAAUACGGAGGGUGCAAGCGUUAUCCGGAUUCACUGGGUUUAAAGGGUGCGUAGGCGGACAUGUAAGUCCGUGGUGAAAUCUCUAAGCUUAACUUGGAAACUGCCAUGGAUACUAUAUGUCUUGAAUGUUGUGGAGGUUAGCGGAAUAUGUCAUGUAGCGGUGAAAUGCAUAGAUAUGACAUAGAACACCAAUUGCGAAGGCAGCUGGCUACACAAAUAUUGACGCUGAGGCACGAAAGCGUGGGGAUCAAACAGGAUUAGAUACCCUGGUAGUCCACGCCCUAAACGAUGAUUACUCGACAUACGCGAUACACAGUGUGUGUCUGAGCGAAAGCAUUAAGUAAUCCACCUGGGAAGUACGACCGCAAGGUUGAAACUCAUAGGAAUUGACGGGRGUCCGCACAAGCGGUGGAGCAUGUGGUUUAAUUCGAUGAUACGCGAGGAACCUUACCUGGGCUAGAAUGCAGUCUGACUGAUGCUGAAAGGUGUCUUUGUAGCAUACACAGAUUGUAAGGUGCUGCAUGRCUGUCGUCAGCUCGUGCCGUGAGGU